GCCGGGUGUGGUGGUGCAUGCCUUUAAUCCCAGCACUCAAGAGGCAGAGGUAGGCAGAGCUCUGUGAGUUCAAGGCCAGCCUGGUCUACAUAGUGAGUUCCAGGACAGCUGGGGCUACAGGGAGAUCCUGUCUCAAAAAGACCAAAAAAUAAAAAAAGAUAGGUCUCAUUAUGUAGCCCUGGCUGGCCUGGAUCUCAGUAUGUAGACCAGAUUAGCCUUGAACUUGUAGAGAUUGCCUGCCUCU
Molecule: small RNA, 244 nt
Filed under: Nannospalax galili (Upper Galilee mountains blind mole rat)
Lineage: Eukaryota; Metazoa; Chordata; Mammalia; Rodentia; Spalacidae
Description: Metazoan signal recognition particle RNA (ENSNGAG00000003816.1)
Source: RNAcentral